UACGGGGGGGGCAAGCGUUAUCCGGAUUCACUGGGUUUAAAGGGUGCGUAGGAGGGCAGGGAAGUCCGUGGUGAAAUCCUAGAGCUUAACUCUAGAACUGCCGUGGAUACUCUCUGUCUUGAAUCCCGUGGAGAUGAGCGGAAUAUGUCAUGUAGCGGUGAAAUGCUUAGAUAUGACAUAGAACACCAAUUGCGAAGGCAGCUCGUUACACGAAGAUUGACUCUGAGGCACGAAAGCGUGGGGAUCAAACAGG
This 253-nucleotide ribosomal RNA is filed under the name uncultured bacterium. RNAcentral describes it as "partial 16S ribosomal RNA". It matches the Rfam family "Bacterial small subunit ribosomal RNA", at positions 524 to 776 of the family's 1533-position model. The record is from RNAcentral.